Saccostrea cuccullata (small rock oyster) is the source of this 1368-nucleotide long non-coding RNA. RefSeq lists it as uncharacterized. The record is from RefSeq and is a predicted model, not a curated record. NCBI's taxonomy places the organism in Eukaryota, Metazoa, Mollusca, Bivalvia, Ostreida, Ostreidae. The transcript has 2 exons.
GCGUAAUGGCAAAAUUAAGUCAAAUGCGUCAUGUCGGUGAUCAGCUUUAAGUACUUGUGCUAUUUUUGAGUGAAAAACUAAGAAAAAAUGUGUUAAUCACUAAGAUAUGUCUCCAGACACUGUGACAUUAUGUCAAAUGCAUCUGCUUCUGCAUAAGGUGACGUGAUUUGCAAAUGACGUCAUAAUAGCCUUACUGACGCCUGACUGUCGAAGUAAAAUUUUAAUUCGCAUUAGUUUACUUCGCAUUAGCUGUCGUGUGAACGCAAUUUAAUUCGCAUUAGUUUGAUUCACAUUAGUUUACUUCGCAUUAAUUUACUGCGAAUGUAAACUUGUCGUGUGAACAUGGCAUUAAAUAAGUUCAGUCAGAGAGAGUAGUGUGAUUUUUUUAAUUUACAUGUAAGCUGUGAUAUAAAUUUAUUAAAUAUUUUAACUAUUCAUACAGAAAUUCUAUCACCCUUUCACACAAUUUUACCUCCUUCGGAUCUAGAGACGUUACUCAAAUAGCUGCUUCUCUUAUAUUUUAAACAAAAAACAAUUCACGUGGUUUCCAUUGAAAUUAGGAAAUAUCAUCCCCAGAAACUUUCAUAAAUAUCUGGAAAUGUACUUCAAUUUCUUGUGAGGAAACCUAUUGAAUAAGCAAUUUUUAGAGAAGGUUCUCUAUUUUUAACACACAUCACCUGACCUUAGAUAAACAAACAUCCUACUCUUUUCUCUAGUUAUAGUUGAAUUCAUUGGCUACAAUAUAAUAAAAUGUGGUGUCUUAAAUUCUGUUUAAGCAAGAAUGCCAUUUCUAUUUGUUUUAUUUCAUUUUGUCAAGCUUCAGUGAUGAAUUGUUUCAAGAGAGAUAACUCUGGUUUCAAGUCCUCUUUAUUAUUAACUGUUGCAGUUCUUUUUCUUUAGAAUGAUAACUUUUUUAUGAGGGUAAUGUCUGAACUUGAUACACUCUCUCACAAACACACACACUUGUUAAGAUUUUGUUCUAGAGCAGGACCUAUAUCUUACUAUUAGAGGACUUUUAAAAAGGCAUGUCGAUGUCUCUCUAUUUUCAUAUUAUUUUCCGUAUUAAUCUGUAAGCCCUCCUAAAUUCAGAAAGAACAAAUUGUAAACAGAUCCUUCCAAAUUAACUCUGCAUAAUCUUUUGGGGCUAAAUUACUGAAGUAUCAGUUGAGCAGAAUAUGUACUUUUUUGAUUCUGCUGAAACAAGUAUAUAAUUUAUAUACACACAGUAUUUUGAGGGCUUUCAUUAUUAUAAGACUUUAGUGCACAAUUGAAUAAUUAUUCAAACCAUGCAUAAAGUGUUAAUUCUUGUUUUAUAUUAGACAUAAUCAUUUUUUUUUUCAAUAAUCUUAAUUAAAAAUACUUGAAGUG